RNAcentral lists this unclassified non-coding RNA (197 nucleotides) under plant metagenome. Its description in RNAcentral is "partial contains small subunit ribosomal RNA and internal transcribed spacer 1". The stretch from base 1 to 46 matches the Rfam family "Eukaryotic small subunit ribosomal RNA", at positions 1786 to 1831 of the family's 1831-position model. The record is from RNAcentral.
AAGUCGUAACAAGGUCUCCGUAGGUGAACCUGCGGAGGGAUCAUUACCGAGUGUGGGCCUCCGUGCCCAACCUCCCAACCCUUUGUCGAUUCAUAUCUGUUGCCUCGGGGGGCGACCCGGACUCGCGCCGGGAGUCCCCAGGCUCACGAAUACACAUGCGUCUUGCGUCUGAGUAUUUGAAAAACAAUCAAUCAAAA